RNAcentral lists this ribosomal RNA (557 nucleotides) under uncultured bacterium. Its description in RNAcentral is "partial 16S ribosomal RNA". It matches the Rfam family "Bacterial small subunit ribosomal RNA", at positions 355 to 902 of the family's 1533-position model. The record is from RNAcentral.
UGGGGAAUAUUGCACAAUGGGCGCAAGCCUGAUGCAGCCAUGCCGCGUGUGUGAAGAAGGCCUUCGGGUUGUAAAGCACUUUCAGCGAGGAGGAAGGUGGUGAACUUAAUACGUUCAUCAAUUGACGUUACUCGCAGAAGAAGCACCGGCUAACUCCGUGCCAGCAGCCGCGGUAAUACGGAGGGUGCAAGCGUUAAUCGGAAUUACUGGGCGUAAAGCGCACGCAGGCGGUUUGUUAAGUCAGAUGUGAAAUCCCCGGGCUCAACCUGGGAACUGCAUUUGAAACUGGCAAGCUAGAGUCUCGUAGAGGGGGGUAGAAUUCCAGGUGUAGCGGUGAAAUGCGUAGAGAUCUGGAGGAAUACCGGUGGCGAAGGCGGCCCCCUGGACGAAGACUGACGCUCAGGUGCGAAAAGCGUGGGGAGCAAAACAGGAUUAGAUACCCUGGUAGUCCACGCUGUAAACGAUGUCGAUUUGGAGGUUGUGCCCUUGAGGCGUGGCUUCCGGAGCUAACGCGUUAAAUCGACCGCCUGGGGAGUACGGCCGCAAGGUUAAAACUU